This 417-nucleotide ribosomal RNA is filed under the name Atlantitermes oculatissimus. RNAcentral's name for it is "partial 12S ribosomal RNA". Lineage: Eukaryota; Metazoa; Arthropoda; Insecta; Blattodea; Termitidae. The record is from RNAcentral.
CCCUAUUAUUUUAGAGUGUUAAGUUUUGUGCCGGAGUAGUAUUAGUUAUGUUCUUGAAACUUAAAGAAUUUGGCGGUAUCUCAUUCCGUCCAGAGGAAUCUGUCUCGUUAUCGAUAGUCCACGUUGGACCUUACUUGGUUGAAUUUGGUUUGUAUACCGCCGUUUAUUGAUUAUCUUUUUAGAGUUUAUGUUAAUUUUCUGGUUUCUUUAUUUUGAUAUAUUUCAGGUCAAGGUGCAGCUUGUUUCUAAGUGGAAUGAUGGAUUACAUUGUUAUUUGUGUUUUGGAUUGUUGAUUUUAAUAUUGGCAUGAAAUUGGAUUUGGUUGUAAUAAUUUGUAGAUUGUUAUUAUGAUAAUUGGUUCUGAGAUAUGUACACAUCGCCCGUCGCUCUCGUUUGUUUAUUAUAAUGAGAUAAGUC